Molecule: long non-coding RNA, 278 nt
Organism: Lepisosteus oculatus (spotted gar)
Lineage: Eukaryota; Metazoa; Chordata; Actinopteri; Semionotiformes; Lepisosteidae
Source: RefSeq, a predicted model, not a curated record
GAGAGGACAUGGAGGACAGUGAAACUCAACAACUCAGCUUAAUAGACUUGCUAACAUCCUCUUUGUCACAAAUGGAAAACUUAAUGAAAUAAUUUCAUCCACCUAAAGGCUUCCUGACAUUUCCCAGACUGCUUUUUCAUAUACAAAGAAGACAGUGACAGAAAUGCCUGCUUGCUAGAUCUGACUGAGAUUCAUUGUGCAGCCUCCAGAUCAAGAGCACAGAAAUUGCUGCCGGGAACAAUGAGGAAUCUGUAAUGAUCAGGACAUCCAAGGAACAA